RNAcentral lists this ribosomal RNA (292 nucleotides) under uncultured bacterium. RNAcentral describes it as "partial 16S ribosomal RNA". It matches the Rfam family "Bacterial small subunit ribosomal RNA", at positions 505 to 796 of the family's 1533-position model. The record is from RNAcentral.
GUGCCAGCAGCCGCGGUAAUACGAAGGGGGCUAGCGUUGUUCGGAAUUACUGGGCGUAAAGCGCACGUAGGCGGGUCGUUAAGUCAGGGGUGAAAUCCCAGAGCUCAACUCUGGAACUGCCUUUGAUACUGGCGACCUAGAGUUCGGAAGAGGUUAGUGGAAUUCCCAGUGUAGAGGUGAAAUUCGUAGAUAUUGGGAAGAACACCAGUGGCGAAGGCGGCUAACUGGUCCGAUACUGACGCUGAGGUGCGAAAGCGUGGGGAGCAAACAGGAUUAGAUACCCUCGUAGUCC